This 519-nucleotide ribosomal RNA is filed under the name Neisseria oralis. Its description in RNAcentral is "bacterial SSU rRNA". It matches the Rfam family "Bacterial small subunit ribosomal RNA", at positions 66 to 574 of the family's 1533-position model. The record is from RNAcentral. Lineage: Bacteria; Pseudomonadati; Pseudomonadota; Betaproteobacteria; Neisseriales; Neisseriaceae.
ACGGCAGCGGGGUAGUGCUUGCACUACUGCCGGCGAGUGGCGAACGGGUGAGUAACAUAUCGGAACGUACCGAGCAGUGGGGGAUAACUAAUCGAAAGAUUAGCUAAUACCGCAUAUAUUCUGAGGAAGAAAGCAGGGGACCUUUGGGCCUUGCGCUGUUUGAGCGGCCGAUAUCUGAUUAGCUGGUUGGUGGGGUAAAGGCCUACCAAGGCGACGAUCAGUAGCGGGUCUGAGAGGAUGAUCCGCCACACUGGGACUGAGACACGGCCCAGACUCCUACGGGAGGCAGCAGUGGGGAAUUUUGGACAAUGGGGGCAACCCUGAUCCAGCCAUGCCGCGUGUCUGAAGAAGGCCUUCGGGUUGUAAAGGACUUUUGUCCGGGAAGAAAAGCGCGAUGUUAAUACCAUUGCGUGCUGACGGUACCGGAAGAAUAAGCACCGGCUAACUACGUGCCAGCAGCCGCGGUAAUACGUAGGGUGCGAGCGUUAAUCGGAAUUACUGGGCGUAAAGCGGGCGCAG